Paramuricea clavata is the source of this 211-nucleotide non-coding RNA. Lineage: Eukaryota; Metazoa; Cnidaria; Anthozoa; Malacalcyonacea; Plexauridae. The record is from the annotation of a GenBank genome assembly.
AAUUCAUGCCGGUCUGAAGUCAGUCGGCUCGGUCUAGCAGGCGGAAUGACGUGAGACCGGUCUGAGUUAUUUUCGUCCCAUGAGUCUCAUGUAAACAUCUAUUGUAAACAGGGUUCGUAGCUGUCUUUGAAAUCCUUGAAAGUCUUUAAAUUUGAAUGCAAGUCUUUAAGGUCUUUGAAAAGUCUUUGAAUUGUGUGAAAAAGCGAAGAAA